GAUGAAGAACGUAGCGAAAUGCGAUAAGUAGUGUGAAUUGCAGAAUUCAGUGAAUCAUCGAAUCUUUGAACGCACAUUGCGCCCUUUGGUAUUCCUUAGGGCAUGCCUGUUCGAGCGUCAUUUAAACCUUCAAGCUAAGCUUGGUGUUGGGUGACUGUCCGCUUCACGGCGGACUCGCCUCAAAAUUAUUGGCGGCCGGUACAUUGGCUUCGAGCGCAGCAGAAACGCGAGCUCGGGCCCGUCGUAUUGGCUCCCAGAAGCUAUCUUCACAAUUUUGACCUCGGAUCAGGUAGGGAUACCCGCUGAACUUAAGCAUAUCAAUAAGCGGAGGA
Molecule: unclassified non-coding RNA, 332 nt
Filed under: soil metagenome
Description: partial contains 5.8S ribosomal RNA, internal transcribed spacer 2, and large subunit ribosomal RNA
Rfam family: 5.8S ribosomal RNA (bases 1-120)
Source: RNAcentral